CUACCUUUCUACUUUUCAUUUUCAUUCUCAUUCUCACUCUUGAUGGAGAAGUCGAAAAAGUGACUUAGAAAUGGAGGUAUUACAUUUUCGAAGAGAACAUCAAAUUGAUGGAAAUAUAGUGAAGAAUUAUUUUAGUCCCCAUCUGGAACAUCAAUUUGUUGUUGAAAUUUCCCAUUUGACUAUCUAUGGGAGGAAGCCCGUCAUUAUAAAAUGGAUGCAACAUGAAAGAAAGAGAAUCGAGUAACAUCACCAAAUAUCUUGGAUAGAAUGUAUUACGAAGAAUUCAGUAAGAAUAUAAAAAGGCACUGUGAGGAAAACUCUCAAAGGUGAAGGCUGCAAAACUUAUCUGACCUGAAGAAGUAGUGAGUUUCUUAUCUGAAAUAUCAUUAUAUGUUCACGUAGGAGAAGUAAACUAUUGAUGGUUUACUUGUGAUUUGACAAAUAGUUGGUGAUAGUUCAUAGUUCAGUGAUGAAAUUCAAAUAUCCAAUACUUAAGAUGUGAUUAUCACCAUUAACUGUUUGUUUCCCAUAUCCUGCACAAUGAUUGUUUGGUAAUUCUCUAUUAAUAAAAUAAUAAUAUAUAUGAACUUGCAGAAUUUAUUGUGAAUUAUAAUAUUUCAAACUGCUUAUUUUGGCUUAGCCGGAAGGUGAUGAAUAGAUGUGAUAAAGAAAGUUAGUGUAUGUAAAAACAUCUUUUGUUACAGUUAUGAAUUUAUAUUUAUUUUUCAUAGUUAUAUCAAGUAAAAACAUCUUUUGUUAAGUUCUUUUCGAAGGAGUCCAAA
Long non-coding RNA from Solanum lycopersicum (tomato), 782 nucleotides. RefSeq lists it as uncharacterized. Lineage: Eukaryota; Viridiplantae; Streptophyta; Magnoliopsida; Solanales; Solanaceae. The record is from RefSeq and is a predicted model, not a curated record.